AUUCCGCCACAAGCGAACGAGCCUGGGCUGGCCUUGUGGAAGCCUAGCCGAGGCCUCAGAAUAUGGAUGAGAUCAUCUGAGACCAUCCACCCCAGGAAGCCAGCAAAGUGGCUAGAACCCGCCAUACCACCGCAGAAUCACGAUUGCUGUUCUGAGUCACUACAUUUCAGGUGACUUGUUGAGCAGCAAACGAGCUGACGAACCUAAAGUCAGAAGAUGCUAGCGGAAGAAACAGGACCCAGAACUCCAUUGGAAAAUGGGGUAUACAGACUUCGAGGAUGCCAGACAAAAAGAUCAUUUGAAAUAUUGUUGUCACUAAGCCUUCUUUGAUCAAGACACCAUGAGCUCAUGACAAACGCCUCAAUUUCCUUCUUCUGUAAAUAAAUUAAUACCUGGUGAGAUGUAAAAGCCCACUUGAACGGAAAACAACAUGUUUGAUGAAAUUCUGAGAGAAGAUACAACCCAAGAUAAAAAGAGAGGGGAGAGUGGAGUAAAGAACUGCCUAACCUAAUGCUAAUGGAAGCACGACAGUGAGCAAGACAGACAAGGUCACUACCCGCAAGGAGCUGUUGAUGGAGAAUAACAUGCAAAGAAGAAGGUAAGAAACUGACCAGAUUGCUUACUGUGAGUGGGAAGGUGGUGAAAAAGUUACAGGUGGAGAGUGCUGAAAAGAGCAAAGAACACAGUAAGAGACGUGAGUAUGGAAACAUGGAGGUAGUAACAGACACCAUUAGGAGAACAGCAGGGGUUGAAGAUCAUGAAUUUACAGUAAAUCAAUAUGAAUAAUUUUGUGAUAUUUUUAGCCACUUGCAACCACUCAGAGUAGAUUUAUUCAGUAUUGAGGUUGCUGAGUGGGUCUGAAUGAAAGACUAUUAAGGAAAAGGAAAUACUGGGAAGAUGGUUCAUUGGAUUGUUGAAAAAUUGUGUUGACUUCAUAUUGAAACCUCUUGUUAAAUACAUCUAAAUCUCCAAUCUGAUAUCCUCAAGAUUAAAGAACAACUCUGUCCAACAGUUGCUGGAGCA
RNAcentral lists this long non-coding RNA (1023 nucleotides) under Homo sapiens (human). RNAcentral's name for it is "HSALNT0333172". The record is from RNAcentral. Lineage: Eukaryota; Metazoa; Chordata; Mammalia; Primates; Hominidae.